UGUGAGUAUAAGCCGACGUCUAUAUAGACGUCGGUGGAUAUCUUUAAUCGACGUUUAUAUGGACGUCGGUUCUGAGGAAUUGCGACGUCCCAUAGACGUCACCCGUAUAGACGUCGGAUGUGAAAGUGACGUUAAAAGCCCAAAUUAACCGACGUUAAACAGCGUUUUUGCACUAGUGGUUUGGGCCAAAUAUAUCUCGUGCC
RNAcentral lists this long non-coding RNA (203 nucleotides) under Vigna radiata. Its description in RNAcentral is "long non-coding RNA (VRAD_LNC006608)". The record is from RNAcentral. Lineage: Eukaryota; Viridiplantae; Streptophyta; Magnoliopsida; Fabales; Fabaceae.